RNAcentral lists this unclassified non-coding RNA (292 nucleotides) under uncultured fungus. RNAcentral describes it as "sequence contains ITS1". Lineage: Eukaryota; Fungi. The record is from RNAcentral.
GGACUACGAGGGUUUCUAAUCCUGUUCGCUCCCCACGCUUUCGCUUCUCAGUGUCAGUAUCGGCCCAGAGACCCGCCUUCGCCACCGGUGUUCCUCCUGAUAUCUGCGCAUUCCACCGCUACACCAGGAAUUCCAGUCUCCCCUGCCGAACUCUAGCUCGCCCGUAUCGGAAGCAGGCCCGCGGUUAAGCCGCGGGUUUUCACUCCCGACGCAACGAGCCACCUACAAGCUCUUUACGCCCAAUAAUUCCGGACAACGCUCGCACCCUACGUAUUACCGCGGCGGCUGACAC